Molecule: transfer RNA, 75 nt
Filed under: Bacteriophage sp.
Description: tRNA-OTHER
Rfam family: tRNA
About the family: Transfer RNA (tRNA) molecules are approximately 80 nucleotides in length.
Source: RNAcentral
UGGGAGUUAGCUCAGGGGAACAGAGUGCUAGGAGUCAUGUCCUAGAAGUCGGUGGUUCGAUUCCAUCACUCCCAA